RNAcentral lists this ribosomal RNA (548 nucleotides) under uncultured bacterium. RNAcentral's name for it is "bacterial SSU rRNA". It matches the Rfam family "Bacterial small subunit ribosomal RNA", at positions 355 to 896 of the family's 1533-position model. The record is from RNAcentral.
UAGGGAAUCUUCCGCAAUGGGCGAAAGCCUGACGGAGCAACGCCGCGUGAGUGAAGAAGGAUUUCGGUUCGUAAAGCUCUGUUGUUAGGGAAGAAUGAUUGUGUAGUAACUAUACACAGUAGAGACGGUACCUAACCAGAAAGCCACGGCUAACUACGUGCCAGCAGCCGCGGUAAUACGUAGGUGGCAAGCGUUGUCCGGAAUUAUUGGGCGUAAAGCGCGCGCAGGUGGUCUAAUAAGUCUGAUGUGAAAGCCCACGGCUCAACCGUGGAGGGUCAUUGGAAACUGUUAAACUUGAGUGCAGGAGAGAAAAGUGGAAUUCCUAGUGUAGCGGUGAAAUGCGUAGAGAUUAGGAGGAACACCAGUGGCGAAGGCGGCUUUUUGGCCUGUAACUGACACUGAGGCGCGAAAGCGUGGGGAGCAAACAGGAUUAGAUACCCUGGUAGUCCACGCCGUAAACGAUGAGUGCUAAGUGUUGGUCUCAUAAGAGAUCAGUGCUGCAGCUAACGCAUUAAGCACUCCGCCUGGGGAGUACGACCGCAAGGUUG